RNAcentral lists this ribosomal RNA (400 nucleotides) under Episymploce forficula. RNAcentral describes it as "partial small subunit ribosomal RNA". The record is from RNAcentral. Lineage: Eukaryota; Metazoa; Arthropoda; Insecta; Blattodea; Blattellidae.
UAUUAUUUUAGAUGUAAAUUAUUUAAACUUGAGUAGUAAUAGAUAAGAUCUUGAAACUUAAAGAAUUUGGCGGUAUUUUAGUCUAUUUAGAGGAAUCUGUCCCGUAAUCGAUAAUCCGCGUUGGACCUUACUUAAUUUAAAAAUAAUAUGUAUACCGCCGUUGUUCAAAAUCUUUUUAGAGUUUAAAAUUUUUUUAAUAUUUAUUAUAUAAAUUUUCAGGUCAAGGUGCAGUUUAUAAUUAAGUGGUGAUGGAUUACAAUAUUUAUAUUAUAUAUGAAUUAUUAUCUGUAAUUGAUAAUAUGAAGGUGGAUUUAAUAGUAAUAUUAUGAAGAUUGUUAAUAUGAUUUUAGCUCUAAAAUAUGCACACAUCGCCCGUCGCUCUCGUUAUGUUUAAAGUGAG